GUCCGUCCUCUCUCUAGCCUUGUGCAGGCUCAUUACACGCUUGCUGACCAUGCUACGACUGCCCUUCGACGACUGCAGUCAGUCAGGAUCUCUAUACAGUUUCUAUCCGAGUUGUCUUGCUCUCUCAAACGAGCUACACUGUUUGCAGGUCGCGAUGAGCGAUCGGGCGCAUCCCCAUCCAAGCGAGAACCACGGGUCGUCUCUUCCUUCACGGGUCGAGGCGACCCCUCGAUGACCUUGAGCUCGCUCGUACCGCCCCCUCGUCCCCGAGGUUUGGGUUGUCGUGCCUCUGCCGUCGUCGGACCAGAGGCUGUACGGCGCAGCGCGGCGGAUGCGUGCCUUUCUGAACCUGUUCCCCCCUCACUCGCCUCUUCUUCCUCGUCGACCGUCGUCUACUCGCCUCGCCUCGUCGGUCGUUGCGCAGUGUGGAGGUCCUCGUUGGGAACUGGAGCGUCGGGGAGGGCGUGUAGCUUGGGCGGGAGUCUGGGCUUGCAACGAGGCCAG
RNAcentral lists this unclassified non-coding RNA (504 nucleotides) under Rhodotorula toruloides. Lineage: Eukaryota; Fungi; Basidiomycota; Microbotryomycetes; Sporidiobolales; Sporidiobolaceae. The record is from RNAcentral.